GCCAGAGUGGCGUAGUGGUUUGAGUGUCGGACUAUGACCCUGGAGACCAGGGUUUGAUUCCUUGCUAUAAAA
Molecule: transfer RNA, 72 nt
Filed under: Phrynosoma platyrhinos (Desert horned lizard)
Lineage: Eukaryota; Metazoa; Chordata; Lepidosauria; Squamata; Phrynosomatidae
Description: tRNA-OTHER
Source: RNAcentral